GGGUGCGUAGCUCAAAUGGCUGAGCAACUGACUUUUAAUCAGUAUGGUGAAGGUUCGAGUCCUUCCGUACCUA
RNAcentral lists this transfer RNA (73 nucleotides) under Candidatus Chloroheliaceae bacterium. Its description in RNAcentral is "tRNA-Lys". It matches the Rfam family "tRNA". From Rfam's summary of the family: Transfer RNA (tRNA) molecules are approximately 80 nucleotides in length. The record is from RNAcentral. Lineage: Bacteria; Bacillati; Chloroflexota; Chloroflexia; Candidatus Chloroheliales; Candidatus Chloroheliaceae.